RNAcentral lists this microRNA (21 nucleotides) under Ananas comosus (pineapple). RNAcentral's name for it is "microRNA s1450_c076b". The record is from RNAcentral. Lineage: Eukaryota; Viridiplantae; Streptophyta; Magnoliopsida; Poales; Bromeliaceae.
CAAGAAAGGAAAUCUCGAAGG